GUAGGUGGCAAGCGUUGUCCGGGAAUUAUUGGGGCGUAAAGCGCGCGCAGGCGGUUCUUUAAGUCUGAUGUGAAAGCCCACGGGCUCAACCGUGGAGGGUCAUUGGAAACUGGAGAACUUGAGUGCAGAAGAGGAAAGCGGAAUUCCACGUGUAGCGGUGAAAUGCGUAGAGAUGUGGAGGAACACCAGUGGCGAAGGCGGCUUUCUGGUCUGUAACUGACGCUGAGGCGCGAAAGCGUGGGGAGCAAACAGGAUUAGAUACCCUGGUAGUCCACGCCGUAAACGAUGAGUGCUAAGUGUUAGGGGGUUUCCGCCCCUUAGUGCUGCAGCUAACGCAUUAAGCACUCCGCCUGGGGAGUACGGCCGCAAAGGCUG
This 375-nucleotide ribosomal RNA is filed under the name uncultured organism. Its description in RNAcentral is "partial 16S ribosomal RNA". It matches the Rfam family "Bacterial small subunit ribosomal RNA", at positions 527 to 896 of the family's 1533-position model. The record is from RNAcentral.